This 253-nucleotide ribosomal RNA is filed under the name uncultured bacterium. RNAcentral describes it as "partial 16S ribosomal RNA". It matches the Rfam family "Bacterial small subunit ribosomal RNA", at positions 524 to 776 of the family's 1533-position model. The record is from RNAcentral.
UACAGGGGGUGCUAGCGUUGUUCGGAAUUACUGGGCGUAAAGGGCGCGUAGGCGGCCAUGUAAGUCAGGAGUGAAAUCCCGGAGCUUAACUUCGGAAUUGCUUUUGAAACUACAUGGCCAGAGUGAGUUAGAGGAUGGCGGAAUUCCUAGUGUAGUGGUGAAAUACGUAGAUAUUAGGAAGAACACCGGUGGCGAAGGCGGCCAUCUGGGACUCAACUGACGCUGAGGCGCGAAAGCGUGGGGAUCAAACAGG